UACGUAGGGUCCGAGCGUUGUCCGGAAUUAUUGGGCGUAAAGGGCUCGUAGGCGGUCUGUUGCGUCGGGAGUGAAAACUUACAGCUUAACUGUGAGCGUGCUUCCGAUACGGGCAGACUUGAGGUAUUCAGGGGAGAACGGAAUUCCUGGUGUAGCGGUGAAAUGCGCAGAUAUCAGGAGGAACACCGGUGGCGAAGGCGGUUCUCUGGGAAUAUCCUGACGCUGAGGCGCGAAAGCUAGGGGAGCAAACGGG
This 253-nucleotide ribosomal RNA is filed under the name uncultured bacterium. Its description in RNAcentral is "partial 16S ribosomal RNA". It matches the Rfam family "Bacterial small subunit ribosomal RNA", at positions 524 to 776 of the family's 1533-position model. The record is from RNAcentral.